AUACACAACACAACUAAUAAUCAUGACCUAAUUCAGUGCUAUGCAAUGAACCUCACCUUUGCAGUCUGGACUGUGAACGUCUGAUGCAGCAAACCAACAAGGAAAAAGAGAAAACAUGUUAGCUUGAAUCAAAUGGAAAACCCUUUUGUUUAAAGACCUUGUGCUCUGAGAUUUAAGACUCGGCUGCUUGGUCACUGCUUGUUGAGGUUCAUCACUUGGAACAGGUAUAGCUAUAAUAAGACAGACAUUUAAACAGUUUGAAAAUUUCCUCAUUGAUGCAAGAAGCUAAGGAAAUAUAUGAUAUGAUCAGUUGGAUACCAUUCAUUUAUGCGCUGCAAUCCGGCUGCAGAAAUCACAUUCCAUUGUGAGGGGUCCAUUUUGCAUUUUUCAAAGAAAUCAGAAAUUUUUUUGCUUGAUUCAUCGCCAUUGAGGGGAUCAAUGUGGAAGCCAGAGACCCCAUCAACAAUAAUUUCUGCUGGGCCUCCUUGGUUGGUAGCAAAAGUGGGCAAUCCACAGUUCAUUGCUUCAAUGACAGUUAAUCCAAAUGCUUCAUACAAAGCAGGCUGCACAAAUGCUCCUCUUGUGUCAGCAAUGCAACGGUAGAGCUCUCCGUUGCGGUACCUAUUAGUCUGUGCAGCAAUCCAUCUAAACUGACCCUUCAGUUGGUACUUAUCAAUUAAGUCAUGCAUCUUUUUUAUUUCUGCCAUUUCCUCCCUGUCUUUUGAUUUUGAAGGGUCAAAGAAGCCCCCUACUAUGACAAGGUUCACCAAAUUUCUCAAUCUCUUGUUCUUGCCAAACCAUUCAACUAAACCGCUUAAGUUCUUUACAACAUCAAGCCUAGCCAUUGAGAAGAUAAUUGGCUUCCUCCUAUCUGCCAGGUAUCCACUGCUUCCAUAACAAUUUCAGAAGUGAAGUCAUUCAUUUGGAAGAAUGUGGUAAUUUAUAACUCAAUGUUACUUACAAGAGAGGAAGUCACUUACAUAUGCUCAUUGUUAUCCACUUUACUAAAAAGAAGAUCCUCAAUGGCUGGCUGAAAUUGAGUGAGCCUUUUUUCUUUCUCUGUGUAAGGGAAAUAGACAGAUUGGUCUGCUCCUGGCGCGGCUAUAUUGAACUUAGGAUCAAACACGUUUAUCCCUGAAACAACUCUACACAGCCCUGGGAGUGUGAAUGCGGCAUGGCUUUCAUAUUGUCCAGGUCUAUCUUUGCUGCAAAUAUCAACUUUCAAAUUUAGAUUUCAUUUUUUUUUCCUGUUUUGUGCUCAUUUAUGUGUGUUUAAGGCUAUUUGAGCUAACCUUCCAGCAAUUUCCUGGUAUGUACUGGUUAUGAUGAAAUCAGUUGCAUUCAUUGCCACUGUAUCAGCCAUGAAUUGACAUGAGAAGUGAUAUUUGGGAUCCAACUCUUUCCACUUGACAUCUGAGUCUUCAUACUUGGUCUUCUCUAAAGCAUGAGCUAUAAUUCCCUGGUUUUCAGUUGCCAAAUGGAAUUAGUACAUGUAGAAAAAGAAAAUAAAUGUACUUGCAACCACAAAAAACUGUUCAAAGCAAAACUUAUGCUGUAUUAACCUGAGUUAUCCCAAGUUUUCUAGCCAUUAGUGAUGCUACCAAAUUUCCAUCUGUGUAAUUUCCAAUAACAAGAUCUGGUUUCCCUUCCAUGAACUCAAGAAUCUUGGUUGUUGCAUCCUAUUUAAAUGAGCCAAAGUAUGGUAAGAAGGAAAAAAUCAUGAGUGGCAAUAGAUAACAGGUAAAGAAUCUUGAAUCAGAUGUACAUGCCUGAGUAAACCUCUCAAGAUAGGGGUAAAUAUCAAAGCGAGAAACCCACUGAUGAAGUAUUCCUUUAUCUGUCUGAAAAGGCACACGUAAAAUGUGGGAGUGUUUAGUAUCAUUUAUUGGUUCCAACUCCUGGUGACACUUGGUUCCCCGAGCAUCAGGUAUGAGCCUUGUUAUCUGUCAAGAUCAAUAGUGUACUCUUAAGAUUCUAGUAACUUCAAGUGCGUAUACCGAGAUAUAAUUAUCCAUUCCUUUGCAUGAAACUCACCACAAGAAUUUGAGGUUUCACAUUUAGCCCUUGUUGCUUGAUUCUCAGAAGCAAUUCUGCUUCCAGAGACUUGACUUGGUCCAAUAUGUAAACUAUCUGUUGUACUUCUCUCAAUGAGUAUUAGAAAUGAAAAUGCAUUUUACUUUUAA
Long non-coding RNA from Vigna angularis (adzuki bean), 2183 nucleotides. RefSeq lists it as uncharacterized. The record is from RefSeq and is a predicted model, not a curated record. NCBI's taxonomy places the organism in Eukaryota, Viridiplantae, Streptophyta, Magnoliopsida, Fabales, Fabaceae. The transcript is spliced from 3 exons.